CUACGGGUGGCUCCAGUGAGGGAUAUUGCACAAUGGGGGGAACCCUGAUGCAGCAACGCCGCGUGGAGGAUGACGCAUUUCGGUGUGUAAACUCCUUUUAUAUGUCAAGAAAAUGACGGUAGCAUAUGAAUAAGCACCGGCUAACUCCGUGCCAGCAGCCGCGGUAAUACGGAGGGUGCAAGCGUUACUCGGAAUCACUGGGCGUAAAGGACGCGUAGGCGGGGUGGAAAGUCAGGUGUGAAAUCCUACAGCUUAACUGUAGAACUGCACUUGAAACUUCUAAUCUAGAGUAUGGGAGGGGGAGAUGGAAUUAGUGGUGUAGGGGUAAAAUCCGUAGAUAUCACUAGGAAUACCUAAAGCGAAGGCGAUCCCCUGGAACAUUACUGACGCUAAGGCGUGAAAGCGUGGGGAGCAAACAGGAUUAGAUACCCGCGUAGUC
This 439-nucleotide ribosomal RNA is filed under the name uncultured bacterium. RNAcentral describes it as "partial 16S ribosomal RNA". It matches the Rfam family "Bacterial small subunit ribosomal RNA", at positions 339 to 795 of the family's 1533-position model. The record is from RNAcentral.